RNAcentral lists this ribosomal RNA (475 nucleotides) under Centruroides suffusus (Mexican scorpion). Its description in RNAcentral is "partial 16S ribosomal RNA". It matches the Rfam family "Archaeal large subunit ribosomal RNA", at positions 1908 to 2669 of the family's 2987-position model. Lineage: Eukaryota; Metazoa; Arthropoda; Arachnida; Scorpiones; Buthidae. The record is from RNAcentral.
AUUUUUUAGGAGUGAUUAAAAAUGAGUCCUGCUCAGUGUUAUAUAAAUAGCCGCAGUAUUUUGACUGUGCAAAGGUAGCAUAAUAAUUAGUCUUAUAAUUUAAGACUGGAAUGAAGGGAUAGACUAAAAAGUUUCUUUCUUAAGUUUUUCUUUUGAAAUUUACUUUUUAGUAAAAAGGCUAAAAUAUUUCUUUUAGACAAGAAGACCCUAUAAAGCUUUACAUAGAAUAAUUUAAUAAAUUAAAAAUAUGUUUUACUGGGGCGGUAGUAAGAAAAACACUUAUAAGAUGUGAAAAUGACACUAUUUAGAUACCCAAAAUUUUUGAAAGUUAAAUAAGUUACUUUAGGGAUAACAGCGUAAUGUAUUUCGAAAGCUCAAAUUGACAAAUAUGUUUGCGACCUCGAUGUUGGAUUAGGUUUCCUUCACUCCGCAAGAGGAGUAUAAAGGGGGUCUGUUCGACCCGUAAAAAUCUCCA